Bombus pyrosoma is the source of this 2457-nucleotide long non-coding RNA. RefSeq lists it as uncharacterized. The record is from RefSeq and is a predicted model, not a curated record. The transcript has 3 exons. NCBI's taxonomy places the organism in Eukaryota, Metazoa, Arthropoda, Insecta, Hymenoptera, Apidae.
AUUAAUAUUUACCAUCGUGCAGGAAAAUCUUAAUGGUUACCACUACAGAGCACACUUUCCUGUAGACUUUCCUUCCGUAUUUAUGUAGCAACAAUUAUGUGAUCCAAGCGAUGAAGAAAGGGAAGAUUAAUUUCAUUAGUAUUCACAAGGACGUCGCCUUGCAAAUUAGGUUAGAAUAAUAAACCUCUAGAAUUUAAAUGCGCUUCCACUGCCUUCAACAUAAUGAUGCAGAAAAGUAAUCUUUUAAACGUCAUUUACAGCAUCAGAACAAUACAUCAGGAACAACUACUUUUCCGGUGAAGUUCUUGAUCUAACCAGGAAGCUUCAACGGGCAGAAUUAAAACGAUUACUCGGUUUCGGUUCCCUGUGUAUUAACAGUUUCUGCGGGCGACUCUGCUGGUGGCUUGUGCAAUCAAUCAACUAACUAGUUGCAUUCACAUGUAGUGGUUUGUCACAUUUGUAACACUGUGCGUCAACUAUUGUACGGGCACCGUUGAUUACGUUACUUCUCUGUUUUCUGUCUUUAUCCAACGAUUUUAUGCUUCUACCAAUUCUUUUAAAUUGCAUUUAUAGAAAGAAUUCUGAUAUUUACUUAAGAGGUUAAGUUCCUCAUCGAAAUUCCUUCGUACAGAAAUCAUAACAAUUUAUUAUCGGCGACAAAAUUUUCUUUGGUUAGCAAUAAUUAAAGUUUAGCAUUUAUUAUUAUUACAAGUUUUCAACCAAUUGUCAGUGUAGUGCUAUAUAUUGAUUUGUUGAUUUACAUGGAAAUUAAUCUUGAUCCGGCUAGAAAGAUAUUAGAGAAAUUGUCUAGUUUUUACAAUGACAAAACCAAAAUGGGAAGGGACGAAUAACUUGAAUACGAGAGAGAAGUCGACGGUGAUCUCAGAUUAAUUUGCAGAACGUGUGAAGAACGACGGUAAAAUGUCUGUGAGAAUGAAAGUAAUACUCUUCUCUGCCUAUUUAGAUACGUCUCAUUAAUAAGACACAUCUAAUAUAAGUUUGUAAGUACUUUUGUAGAAGACUAAAUUGGCUUCCGACAAGGCAAUUGCAUCGCAUCAGACUUUAUUUCACGAUUUCUAUAUUGAUAAGACGAGCCACAGUGGUCAAACCAGCUAUUUUAGCUAAAUAAGUAGAUUCUUAAGUGGACAUCAACGAGGAAAAGAUAUUCACGAUGACACCUCUUCCGGUUUACCAUUUUCAACGAGGCUAAUAAUACUCUUUCCCGCUAAUGAUAGUCUUAAACGUGAUUGCUAUGAAAAUCAUUAUGUCAAUGAAUUUUUAUAGUAACGUAUUGCAAAGAAGAAGACAGCGAAAACUUUUGUUCCUUUGGAGGCGUGUCUGUGGAAAUAUACGAUACCAAUCCGUUCCACGCCAUUCGUCUGCGAGGAUAAACUAACAGAUCAUUAAAAUUCGCCGAAAAUACACGACUGAUGCUGUUUCGUGUUUUCGAGAAUUCGAUCGAACUGUUGAUAUAGCCUCUUUACAAGUUUGUCAAAGUUUACAAAUCCUGUUCCUAAUAUUCCAUGUUUAGCACUGGAUUUAGGAUUAAAAAUUAGUUUAAAAGUCAUUAAGAAAUUCUUGGUUCAUUUGGUCUUCUUUACCUAUUAUGAAAUAUUUGUAUUUUAUCAGCUGAUAUCUGUUUCCUAUUAAUGAAUAUUUAAAAUGAUUUACAUUUCAAAAGCAAUGAAUCGCAAAUGUCUAAAUAUAAAAAUGUAACGAUAUUUUAAUUGAAUUUUAAUAUUCAGAACAGCGAUAGUGUUUCAUCAAUAUUGGAAGGUAUUUUAUUAGAAUUGUUAGAAAGUUAUGUUUAUAAUAUGUUAUAUAAUUGUUGCAAAUCCUUGAGAAUUCGAUGGCCGAAAACGCGUUAGAAACUCAUGAUACUGUUUUGCAUGCAACAAAUACGAUAUGUAUAAGUAGCACGUACUGUGAUUUUAGAUUUGUUCGAAUACACAAGCGACCACGUGAGCUGCAAAACGAUUACGUUAAACUGUUAACAUUUUCACUCUGGUUUUCCCCAAUUUCGAUCUUUAUUAUUGGUUAUUAGAGUAAGUGUCGCGCGCGAGACAUUCAGACCCUUGACUUGAAAAUUUUUAUUUAAAUUUAAAAAUUUGAAUUUGAAUUUAGACAUUUUUAUUUAAAAUUAAAGACUCAAGUUUGAAUUUUUCUGUUUAAGGAAGCAACUGCACUCUUCUGAAUAUACAUUACGAAAAACUUUUAUCAUGAAGUAAAUAAAUGAAUUCUGCAGGUUUGCUUCAAAAACCAAAGAGAAGACAAAUGUUUGAUAUAUCUAGUUAGCUACAAUGAAAAAGGCGGAUUUUCUACCGACCAUUAUGUUAAAUAUAAUUGAAAAUAUACAAACGCCUAUAAACGAUCAAAUAAACGCUUCAAUAAAAGAAAACUUCCAGCGCCCCUCAAGAUAUGGGGGAAAUAUUUCUAUCUGUGUAUCGCUUUUCAAAA